GCAAACUUGGUCAUUUAGAGGAAGUAAAAGUCGUAACAAGGUUUCCGUAGGUGAACCUGCGGAAGGAUCAUCACAGUGUGGUCUGGUGUGUGUGUGGAGACACACACCAAUCUUGUGUGAACUGUUGUGUGUGUGUUGGUGUGUGAUGUGUUGUUAUAUGGCACUCCCACCACCACAAAUAUCAUCACCUUCAAUCUUUGUCUAACAUGUACCCACAAUCUAAAACAACUUUUAACAAUGGAUCUCUUGGCUCUCGCAUCGAUGAAGAACGCAGC
RNAcentral lists this unclassified non-coding RNA (275 nucleotides) under uncultured fungus. RNAcentral's name for it is "partial contains small subunit ribosomal RNA, internal transcribed spacer 1, and 5.8S ribosomal RNA". The stretch from base 1 to 73 matches the Rfam family "Eukaryotic small subunit ribosomal RNA", at positions 1759 to 1831 of the family's 1831-position model. Lineage: Eukaryota; Fungi. The record is from RNAcentral.